AUACCUUUUUCUGCCUUUUGGCUAAGAUCAAGUGUAGUAUCUGUUGUUAUCAGUUUGUUACAAUAUAUCCAAGGCCGUAUAAAACAGGGAAAGAGUUGGAAGGCUGGAAGAGACUCAUCGAGAUUUAGCACAGAAAUAGCCAAUCGGUGUAAUUCUG
RNAcentral lists this small nuclear RNA (157 nucleotides) under Labrus bergylta (ballan wrasse). RNAcentral describes it as "U2 spliceosomal RNA (ENSLBEG00000010993.1)". It matches the Rfam family "U2 spliceosomal RNA". Rfam says of the family: U2 is a small nuclear RNA (snRNA) component of the spliceosome (involved in pre-mRNA splicing). Complementary binding between U2 snRNA (in an area lying towards the 5' end but 3' to hairpin I) and the branchpoint sequence (BPS) of the intron results the bulging out of an unpaired adenosine, on the BPS, which initiates a nucleophilic attack at the intronic 5' splice site, thus starting the first of two transesterification reactions that mediate splicing. The record is from RNAcentral. Lineage: Eukaryota; Metazoa; Chordata; Actinopteri; Labriformes; Labridae.